UUCAGCCGGAGUCUGCAGGGGGCCGAGCGCCACGGUCUGAGGUUCUGUCAGGCCUCCCGGGCGUUCUCCAGCCUCUCCCGGGCGUUCUCCAGCCUCUCCCGGGCGUUCUCCAGCCUCUCCCGGGCGUUCUCCAGCCUCUCCCGGGCGUUCUGCAGCCUCUCCCGGGCGUUCUCCAGCCCUCUCGGGCGUUCUACAGCCUCUCCUGGGCGUUCUGCAGCCUCUCCCGGGCGUUCUCCAGCCUCUCCCGGGCGUUCUACAGCCUCUCCCGGGCGUUCUCCAGCCCUCUCGGGCGUUCUACAGCCUCUCCCGGGCGUUCUGCAGCCUCUCCCCGGCGUUCUCCAGCCUCUCCUGCGUUCUCCCGUCCCAGGCAGCAGGAUAACCCAACGGUGACCAUUUCUCCGGGCUGCAAAGAUUGAAUCAUGAAUUGGCAUCCAUCAAAUGCAGCAAUUUUGCAGUUAUCUAUCGUAACAGCUGCUUUUCUUAGCUGCUAGAAGACCUAAUGCUUACUGGAUCCAUAUGUUUUAGAGGUAAGAUAUUUAGAUGAAUAUCUGGUUCUAACUCACAUACUAAGU
RNA transcript from Callithrix jacchus (white-tufted-ear marmoset), 572 nucleotides. RefSeq lists it as uncharacterized. Lineage: Eukaryota; Metazoa; Chordata; Mammalia; Primates; Cebidae. The record is from RefSeq and is a predicted model, not a curated record.